GCUGGGCGUGGUGGUGCAUGCCUGUAAUCCCAGCUACUUGGGAGGCUGAGACAGAAGAAUUGCUUGAACCCAGGAGGCGGAGGUUGCGGUGAGCCGAGAUCGCGCCAUUGCACUCCAGCCUGGGAAACAGAGCAAGACUCCGUCUCAA
RNAcentral lists this non-coding RNA (148 nucleotides) under Nomascus leucogenys (northern white-cheeked gibbon). Lineage: Eukaryota; Metazoa; Chordata; Mammalia; Primates; Hylobatidae. The record is from Rfam by way of RNAcentral.